This 498-nucleotide ribosomal RNA is filed under the name uncultured bacterium. RNAcentral's name for it is "bacterial SSU rRNA". It matches the Rfam family "Bacterial small subunit ribosomal RNA", at positions 43 to 507 of the family's 1533-position model. The record is from RNAcentral.
CGUGCUUAACACAUGCAAGUCGAACGAGAGGACAAGAGAAGCUUGCUUCUUUUGGAAUCGAGUGGCAAACGGGUGAGUAACACGUAAACAACCUGCCUUCAGGAUGGGGACAACAGACGGAAACGACUGCUAAUACCGAAUACGCUUGGGAGACCGCAUGAUCUUCCAAGGAAAGGGUGGCCUCUACUUGUAAGCUAUCGCCUGAAGAGGGGUUUGCGUCUGAUUAGGCAGUUGGUGAGGUAACGGCCCACCAAACCUACGAUCAGUAGCCGGUCUGAGAGGAUGAACGGCCACACUGGAACUGAGACACGGUCCAGACUCCUACGGGAGGCAGCAGUGGGGAAUCUUCCGCAAUGGGCGAAAGCCUGACGGAGCAACGCCGCGUGAGUGAUGACGGCCUUCGGGUUGUAAAACUCUGUGAUCCGGGACGAAAAGGCAGAGUGCGAAGAACAAACUGCAUUGACGGUACCGGAAAAGCAAGCCACGGCUAACUACGUG